This 806-nucleotide long non-coding RNA is filed under the name Homo sapiens (human). RNAcentral's name for it is "HSALNT0350921". The record is from RNAcentral. Lineage: Eukaryota; Metazoa; Chordata; Mammalia; Primates; Hominidae.
AGCCACCUCCCCGGGCUGCAGCAGCAGUGCAAGCCGAGCCUGCGGGCAGAAAAUAAUGCAGGCGCUGCAGAGGAGGGGAGGCAAGGGGAGAGGAGGGAAGGGAGAGGGGGUGGGGAGCCGAGAGCAGAAGAGAGCACAGAACGGAGAGGAGCCGGUAGCGGAGCACCCGCACCGGCGGCGGCCGGAGAGCGGGGCUCCAAGCUUGAUAUAGAAGACUAUCAUAUGAACCAGAAAGGGUAACUGAAACCAAAGAAAUGACUCCAGUAUCAAGCUAAAGACAUGCCUUAAAGGAUGAGGAGGAGCAGAAAUCUUACCAGCAAGGCAAGAAAGAAGCCGUACGUGAACAGCCUCUGCUUUAGGCCCAGAAGGAAAAGAAGCUUACAGGAGACAAUCAGUCUUACACUCUUCCAUGGUCACAAACAAGAGGUCCCUGGAUCUACAGGUCAUCUUGCCCCUGAAAUGGCCCUGGAAAGCUAUGGCUGAAGAAUGGAGGAAAAGAUGACUUUCUCUGUUUCUUCAGACCAGGCAUCAACUGGGAUGUUGGGAUGUUGAUAAAAGGACAUCUCAUCCUUUGUUUUCUGCCUAUGCUUUCACCAUACCCAUUCCCAUGUCUGGUCAUCACAGCAUCCUUCACAGCCCUUAGCUGAAUCAUGUUGAGUACAGGAUGGUGUGAAUAUCAUGGUUUGAAUGCAACCAUGGUCUGUCAGUGUGGCUUGUUUUUUGCAGCCCACUUAGACUUAAGCCCUCUUAAUUUCAAAAUUACGUUCAUAUGUGCCAAUAAAGUUGUCCCUACAUGAACUGAAAAA